This 468-nucleotide ribosomal RNA is filed under the name uncultured bacterium. RNAcentral's name for it is "partial 16S ribosomal RNA". It matches the Rfam family "Bacterial small subunit ribosomal RNA", at positions 28 to 507 of the family's 1533-position model. The record is from RNAcentral.
GACGAACGCUGGCGGCGUGCUUAACACAUGCAAGUCGAACGGAAAGGCCCUGCUUUUGUGGGGUGCUCGAGUGGCGAACGGGUGCGUAACACGUGAGUAACCUGCCCUUGACUUUGGGAUAACUUCAGGAAACUGGGGCUAAUACCGGAUAGGAGCUCCUGCUGCAUGGUGGGGGUUGGAAAGUUUCGGCGGUUGGGGAUGGACUCGCGGCUUAUCAGCUUGUUGGGGGGGUAGUGGCUUACCAAGGCUUUGACGGGUAGCCGGCCUGAGAGGGUGACCGGCCACAUUGGGACUGAGAUACGGCCCAGACUCCUACGGGAGGCAAUAGGUGAGAAUAUUGCACAAUGGGCGGAAGUCUGAUGCAGCAACGCCGCGUGCGGAAUGACGGCCUUCGGGUUGUAAACCGCUUUCGCCUGUGACGAAGCGUGAGUGACGGUAAUGGGUAAAGAAGCACCGGCUAACUACGUG